This 1036-nucleotide long non-coding RNA is filed under the name Homo sapiens (human). RNAcentral describes it as "HSALNT0303800". The record is from RNAcentral. Lineage: Eukaryota; Metazoa; Chordata; Mammalia; Primates; Hominidae.
CCUGCCCAGGCUCUCUUGCCUGCAGCCAUGUAAGAUGUCUCUUUUGCUCUUCUUUCAUCUUCCACCAUGAUCAUGAGGUCUCCUCAGCCAUGUGAAACAGGAUGUCAUGGGAAUUCUGCUUCUUGGCAAUUUUCACGGAUUGUAAAAUUAGCUUACCAACUUGCAUAAAAACUUCUGUAUGUUAUUGAAUAUCAUCAGUUUUAGCAAGCAUUCUUGUCUCAUUCCUGAUUUUAGAGGAAAUACUUGAACUUCUCACUCGAAAGGAACUAAAAUAAUUCUGAGUACUAGCAAGGACUAAGAUGAAGUUCAAUGUUAUGACUGCAAAGUGAAAUGAUCAGAAGUUUCAUGGCCAUGAGUACUGCUGCCUGGCCCGGGCAUGAGAAAUGAGUUUGCUCUAGACUGCAGAUUGUGAAGACGAGCUUUGCAAAAAUCUAACAUCUAGUGCAUUCUGACUAUGGAGAGGAUAUAAUUGAUACCUUGAGAUCUCCUGAACAUACUGACAUUUGGUGGUCAUUGCUUCCUCUCUGAACACCUUCCUUAAUGUGAGAAGGAACUUGGAAUUUGGAUACUACAUAUUUAAUACAAAUAUUUGCUCGGUAUUCAGAAUCAUAUGUGUCAUAUGGCCUUUCUUGACUACUGUGAUGUGCUGGCUCCCCAACAGAUACACCUGCAUCCUAAUCCCUAGAAACUGUGAAUGUGACCUUAUUUACAAAAAGAAUCUUUGCAGAUGUAAUUAAGUAUUUUAAGAUGAGAUCAUCCAGGAUUACCACUCAGCCCUAAAUCCAUUGACCAAGUGUCCUUAUAUGGGACAGAAGAGGAGAAAAAGGAUAAAACAGAAGGAAGUAAAGCUCUCUGAUCAUAGAGACAGAGAUUGGUGAUAGGCAACCACCAGCCAAGGGACACAUGGAACCACCAGAAGCCAGAAGAGCCAAGGAAAAAUUUUCCUCUGGAACAUUUAAAGGGAGCAUAGCCCUCUGAUGCUUUGAUUUAGGAUUUCUGACCUCUAGAACGAUGAAAGAAUAAAUUUGUGUGUUGG